AGGGGUGUAGUGAAAUGGUAUCACGAAGGUCUCCAAAACCUUUAUUCUGGGUUCGAGCCCCAGCGCCCCUGCCA
RNAcentral lists this transfer RNA (74 nucleotides) under Candidatus Uhrbacteria bacterium RIFOXYA2_FULL_41_8. Its description in RNAcentral is "tRNA-Trp". It matches the Rfam family "tRNA". Rfam says of the family: Transfer RNA (tRNA) molecules are approximately 80 nucleotides in length. Their secondary structure includes four short double-helical elements and three loops (D, anti-codon, and T loops). Further hydrogen bonds mediate the characteristic L-shaped molecular structure. tRNAs have two regions of fundamental functional importance: the anti-codon, which is responsible for specific mRNA codon recognition, and the 3' end, to which the tRNAs corresponding amino acid is attached (by aminoacyl-tRNA synthetases). tRNAs cope with the degeneracy of the genetic code in two manners: having more than one tRNA (with a specific anti-codon) for a particular amino acid; and 'wobble' base-pairing, i.e. permitting non-standard base-pairing at the 3rd anti-codon position. The record is from RNAcentral. RNAcentral also lists the same sequence under 4 other names. Lineage: Bacteria; Candidatus Uhriibacteriota.